RNAcentral lists this ribosomal RNA (234 nucleotides) under uncultured bacterium. RNAcentral's name for it is "partial 16S ribosomal RNA". It matches the Rfam family "Bacterial small subunit ribosomal RNA", at positions 118 to 347 of the family's 1533-position model. The record is from RNAcentral.
UGAGGAACAUGACCUUCGGCGGGGGAUAGCCGGCCCAACGGCCGGGUAAUACCACGUACGACCACAUGGGGACAUCCCUGAGUGGUGAAAGCAGCAAUGCGCCGAUGGAGUGCCUCGCGGCCUAUCAGCUAGUUGGUGAGGUAACGGCUCACCAAGGCGACGACGGGUAGCUGGUCUGAGAGGAUGGCCAGCCACAUUGGGACUGAGACACGGCCCAGACCUNUACCGGGGAGG